CACAGGAAUGUCGAAGCAAAUGCCAUGGACAUGGGGUCUGUGACAGCAACAGGCACUGCUACUGUGAGGAGGGCUGGGCACCCCCUGACUGCACCACUCAGCUCAAAGCAACCAGCUCCCUGACCACAGGGCUGCUCCUCAGCCUCCUGGUGUUAUUGGUCUUGGUGAUGCUUGGUGCCAGCUACUGGUACCGUGCCCGCCUGCACCAGCGACUCUGCCAGCUCAAGGGACCCACCUGCCAGUACAGGGCAGCCCAAUCAGGUCCCCCUGAACGGCCAGGACCUCCGCAGAGGGCCCUGCUGGCGCGAGGCACUAAGCAGUGACCCCAGGAGGGCACAAGGGCAGUGGUGCUCAGAAUGGCCUUCCGUGGGCCCAGGUCACCAUGUCAGAAGGGCUGCAGGCUAGUGCUCUCAGCUUCCCGGCCCCCCC
This 429-nucleotide small RNA is filed under the name Pongo abelii (Sumatran orangutan). RNAcentral describes it as "processed transcript". Lineage: Eukaryota; Metazoa; Chordata; Mammalia; Primates; Hominidae. The record is from RNAcentral.